This 243-nucleotide long non-coding RNA is filed under the name Homo sapiens (human). Its description in RNAcentral is "HSALNT0246190". The record is from RNAcentral. Lineage: Eukaryota; Metazoa; Chordata; Mammalia; Primates; Hominidae.
CAGUUCCAGCUGGGCACACUGGGAAGGUCACCCACCUCCCGAGCCCUCCAUGUCCAGGCCAUUGUGGGAAAACCCUCUCCAACAGGGGAGUGAAGGGACAGGAUGGAGCGGGAGCGGCGCCAAAGCACGGGGAGAACCAGAGGCCGCAGGAAUGGCAGACUCUGGACAUGCUCCUAGAGAUGGGAGGUCAAAAUGAUCAACGUUCAGGGUCCCUUCAUCUCAGAGGGUCUCGAGUCACCUCAU